AAAGAUUAAGCCAUGCAUGUCUAAGUAUAAACGAUCUAAUCGUGAAACCGCGAGUGGCUCAUUAUAACAGCUAUAAUUUACUUGAUCUUGACACUAUCCUACUUGGAUAACUGUGGUAAUUCUAGAGCUAAUACAUGCAUUAAAGCUCUGACCUCACGGGAAGAGUGCACUUAUUAGAACAAAACCAAGCGGCUUCGGCUGUUUUCGGUUGACUCAUAGUAACUGAGCUGAUCGCACGGUCUUGCACCGGCGACGUGUCUUUCAAGUACCUGCCGUAUCAACUUUCGAUGGUAGUGUAUCUGACUACCAUGGUGAUCACGCGUAACGGAGAAUAAGGGUUCGGCUCCGGAGAGUUCGCCUGAGAAAUCGCGAACACAUCUAAGGAAGGCAGCAGGCGCGAAAAUUACCCACUCUCAGCACGAGGAGGUAGUGACGAAAAAUAACGAGACCGUUCUCUUAUGAGGCCGGUCAUCGGAAUGGGUACAAUUUAAACCCUUUAACGAGUAUCUAUGAGAGGGCAAGUCUGGUGCCAGCAGCCGCGGUAAUUCCAGCUCUCAAAGUGCAUAGAAUUAUUGCUGCGGUUAAAAAGCUCGUAGUUGGAUCUGUGCCAUAGGACGUGGUCCACCUUCUGGGUGCGUACUAUGUUCCUAGGCUUUUUGCUGGUUUUCCCGUCGUAGCCUUCAUUGGUUGCGGCGGGUGGCUGGCGAGUUUACUUUGAGAAAAUCAGAGUGCUCAACACAGGCGCAUCGCUUGAAUGAUUGUGCAUGGAAUAAUAGAAAAGGAUUUCGGUCCUCUUUUAUUGGUUUUGUGGACUGAGAUAAUGGUUAGCAGGGACCAACGGGGGCAUUGGUAUCGCUGCGUGAGAGGUGAAAUUCUUGGACCGUAGCGAGAGGGGCUACUGCGAAAGCAUUUGCCAAGAAUG
This 922-nucleotide ribosomal RNA is filed under the name Chiloplacus propinquus. Its description in RNAcentral is "SSU rRNA". It matches the Rfam family "Eukaryotic small subunit ribosomal RNA", at positions 39 to 966 of the family's 1831-position model. The record is from RNAcentral. Lineage: Eukaryota; Metazoa; Nematoda; Chromadorea; Rhabditida; Cephalobidae.